CCGGCAAGGACGACGUUGGGGGCCACGUACGCAUCGACGGCUAUCGUGGGGACCCACUGCCCCAGGGGAAUGAUCCGCCGCUGCCCCCUGUAGUCCCACUUCACGCGAUCCGACGCCGUCUGCGGCGGAGGCGCCACCGCCGCCGCCGCCGCCGCGGUGGCGUCGGCGGAGAGAAGGCGGUGGAGCGGGAUAAGGCGGGGUCGAACGGCUAGGGUUCUUCGCGAGAGACGAGCGAGAGCUGCCGCCAUUUCCAGGUCGUUCCACCGCAAGAGAGGACAGAGAGGAGCGGAGAGGGGGG
This 298-nucleotide long non-coding RNA is filed under the name Musa acuminata (dwarf banana). RNAcentral describes it as "long non-coding RNA (MACU_LNC000750)". Lineage: Eukaryota; Viridiplantae; Streptophyta; Magnoliopsida; Zingiberales; Musaceae. The record is from RNAcentral.